This 254-nucleotide ribosomal RNA is filed under the name uncultured bacterium. RNAcentral describes it as "partial 16S ribosomal RNA". It matches the Rfam family "Bacterial small subunit ribosomal RNA", at positions 524 to 776 of the family's 1533-position model. The record is from RNAcentral.
UACGUAGGGGGCAAGCGUUGUCCGGAAUCAUUGGGCGUAAAGAGCGCGUAGGCGGCCCUGUAAGUCCGCUGUGAAAGUCAAGGGCUCAACCCUUGGAUGCCGGUGGAUACUGCAGGGCUAGAGUCCGGAAGAGGCGAGUGGAAUUCCUGGUGUAGCGGUGAAAUGCGCAGAUAUCAGGAGGAACACCUAUGGCGAAGGCAGCUCGCUGGGACGGUGACUGACGCUGAGACGCGAAAGCGUGGGGAGCGAACAGG